GUACAUGUACUGAAAAGAUGAGUAUAAAGAGUUGGCUUACACUUGCCACAAGCUACAUCAGAGUCACAUCAGUACAAUACAUACAAUCAUCAUGAAAAGAGCAUGGUUCGACUACGGACGAAAACAAAUGAUAAAAUAACAACGUCCAUCCUUGCUAUCCCGGGCUACUGGCCUGGAACCCAUCCUAGAUCGAUGAUGAAGAAGAAGAAACUCCAAAUAGCACAAUCAGCGUUCUCACGUCAAAGUAACUCUUUAUCUGUACCUGCAACUGGUGUUGUAGUAAUCUGUGAGCCACAGGGACUCAGCAAUCUUAUUUCCGAAGGUAUCAAGACUAGCAAAGCUUAAUGGGUGAGGUAUGGUUAAGUGGUGAGGCUACAUCAAGCGACUAAGCAUUUAUUUGAGGUGCCUAACUUACGAGUACAAGAAUAAGAGGGAGAUGAUCUACGCGUAACAGACGAGAACUACUGAUGAUCAAAUAAAUGGUCCUGAACACCUACUUACGUCACACAUAACCCCACCGUGUCCUUAGACGGAGAAGGAGCUCACGAAAGAGACAGUCACGGUUACGCACUCAGUUGGCAUAUUUUCAUUAAGCUUACUUCAAGUUAUCUAGAACCGGAUGUUAAAGAAAGUUUCCACGUUGCCACAUAACCGCGGGCAUGACUUUCCGAAGCAUUUAACCCUGCAGGGGUGCUCCAACAAAUCCAUCACAAACUACCACACGCUGCGACGGAAUGACCUCGAUCAAGAAAACCCGUGAUCUCCUCGGGUUCCUAUUGGAAAACCUCAACCUCGAGAUAACCCAAAGCAUCCUUGGAAUCCCUCGCACAAGACGUUCGAGAAAGGUAAAACANAAACAAGUCCAGCAAGGUCGCCCGGCGUGUUAACGAUCCCGAUAGGAUCCGCGUAUAUCAUUCCCAGGACAAAACAGAUAAGCACAAUGUACGGUGGCCUGAUAGACAUCUCUCGAGUUGCCUUGGGUUGGCCCCACAAACGGCUCUAGUUUGGAGCAGCACCAACAACACUGCCCCCCCCCCUUAAUUAUGUUGAAUUACUCCUGGGGUUCAUGACGUCCUAUGUUUUCAGUAUUAACAGAAUUAUUAUGUUGGGAAAAUAUAGUACCAAUGUUGGGCCUUUCCACACGAGCUUUAUCCCAAAAUGAGAAUCUAGGGGGUCCCCAUAAUAACCCCAAGCAUGCUACGAGCGCUCAUUUAUGGAACAUAACACCGGUAGCCGAAACUAAGGUGGCAAAGGUGGAACAAAACACCAGGCUAGAAAGGCUGAGCCUUCCUCCUUUUACCAAGUAUAUAUGUGCAUUAAAUUAAAUAGCAUUAAUAUACUGAUAUAACAAGGAACCCAUGUUUUCACAUGGAAGCAACUGCACCUACAACUAGCAACAUUAUCCAAUGGUUAAGCAAGUGGUAACAUAGCCAAUUAGUGGUUUGCUAGGUUGUAGAAAGGUUGAAGGUUUUCAUGGCAAUGUUGAGAGGCUGAUAUUUAACAGGUGGUAGGCAGCGAGACAUAACGGUAGAAACGAAACAACUAGCAGGGCAAUGAUAGUAAUGUUAUCCAGGGAAAUGACUAUAUUGCCUGAGAUCCUCCUUGGAAGAAGAACGACUCCGUGAAGCAGACGAACCGACAUAGUCGAACGAAUCCUCAUAUUCUGACAUGCUUGCGGAACUCUAUCGAGACGAAGCAAACUAAAACAACAAUCAACACACGAUAUUCACCAUGACACAUGCACGCCACGAUGGAAAACACAUAUGAUGCAUGAUCAAUUUCAAAAAUGCAAGGCAGGGCAUGGCAAUUCACAACAAUCAAACACUACACAUUAAGUGAAGUUCAAUAUGCAACGAGUUGCAUAUUGACGGAACUCCACAUUCAAAUAUUUAGUUCACUCUCGUAUAGGUACACGAAAAUAUUAAAGGUUAUUUAAACAUGGCAAGUGAUGAAGCACAAAUUAAAAUACAUAUCUAGGCAGUUUAAAUGAGGCCGGAAACGACAUAUAGCAUCUCCGAAAUGACCCCACACAUUA
RNAcentral lists this long non-coding RNA (2035 nucleotides) under Hordeum vulgare. RNAcentral describes it as "long non-coding RNA (HVUL_LNC006692)". The record is from RNAcentral. Lineage: Eukaryota; Viridiplantae; Streptophyta; Magnoliopsida; Poales; Poaceae.